AGGUUGGGUACGGAAUUUGCUUUUUUGGCCAUUUUUGCAAAAUUACUUGAAAUCCUUAUCAUAACCCGCUUACAGCCACUGAGUUAGAAGUACUGACAUGAAAAUUAAACAAGUCAAUCAUCUGUGGAACGGGCAGGGCUCGAAAAACUCCAGCCAAUCAUUUGGAUUGCCACCUCGUUGCAUUGGACAGUAAGUACGUCAAUCAAACGGUCGUACUGCACUCCCCCUCCCCCGUGCGACCCCUUCGUGCAGUACUCGUGACCCAGAGCUCGUGACCCAGAGCAAGCUCCUGUUUGUUGUUAUCCUGCGGUAGCUACUGGAACUAGUUAAUCCACAUUUGGACCUAGCAGUAGAAGACAAUUUCCAUGGCAGACAAGACGCCACCAUCCCCACCACCACCACCACCACCACCACCAGCAAAGAGAAGGAAAACUCUUUUUCAGAGAGUAAUUGAUAAUAAAAACGCUGAAAGAGAAAAACUGAAAUCAAGAAUAAUCCUAGGUGCUGCUUUCGAACGUUGGCGGCAACUGAAGGACGAGAAGGGUCUAAAAACCGAUGCUUGUGUGGCGGUUGACAUAGUUUCAAAGUUUAUACCGUUUAUACUCGGUAAUACCGGUGUUGAGACGAGUGUAUUACUCGUUGUGAAAAUUGGCGGAGCCACGUGGUGGCCAGGGGUGGCCGUGGCUACCAUUGGUCAAACUUCGGCCACCCUGCUGGCCACCCCUACGACCGUGCCAAAAAAAAAAAAAAAAGAA
Molecule: long non-coding RNA, 755 nt
Organism: Gadus macrocephalus (Pacific cod)
Lineage: Eukaryota; Metazoa; Chordata; Actinopteri; Gadiformes; Gadidae
Exons: 2
Source: RefSeq, a predicted model, not a curated record